Molecule: ribosomal RNA, 500 nt
Filed under: uncultured bacterium
Lineage: Bacteria
Description: partial 16S ribosomal RNA
Rfam family: Bacterial small subunit ribosomal RNA
Source: RNAcentral
AUUGAACGCUGGCGGCAUGCCUUACACAUGCAAGUCGAACGGUAACGGGUCCUUCGGGAUGCCGACGAGUGGCGAACGGGUGAGUAAUAUAUCGGAACGUGCCCAGUAGUGGGGGAUAACUGCUCGAAAGAGCAGCUAAUACCGCAUACGACCUGAGGGUGAAAGGGGGGGAUCGCAAGACCUCCCGCUAUUGGAGCGGCCGAUAUCAGAUUAGCUAGUUGGUGGGGUAAAGGCCUACCAAGGCAACGAUCUGUAGUUGGUCUGGGAGGACGACCAGCCACACUGGGACUGAGACACGGCCCAGACUCCUACGGGAGGCAGCAGUGGGGAAUUUUGGACAGUGGGCGCAAGCCUGAUCCAGCAAUGCCGCGUGCAGGAAGAAGGCCUUCGGGUUGUAAACUGCUUUUGUCAGGGAAGAAAUCUUCUGGGCUAAUACCCCGGGAGGAUGACGGUACCUGAAGAAUAAGCACCGGCUAACUACGUGCCAGCAGCCGCCGCAG